ACCGUUCUAAGAUGGGUCCUCUCUUCGUAGGCUAAUGCAUUGGCCCUUUUUGACCCGUUUUGGGGCGAAAACAAAAACUGACUCCCGGGCAUAUUUUUUUCGGCCUUUAUGGGCAAAGAACUUUAAUGCCGCUCAGAAUGAGGCCACCCAGUAGUUAGGUGUGAAUUUUCGAGACCUCUGGCACCGUUCUAAGAUGGGUCCUCUCUUCGUAGGCUAAUGCAUUGGCCCUUUUUGACCCGUUUUGGGGCGAAAAACAAAAACUGACUCCCGGGCAUAUUUUUUUCGGCCUUUAUGGGCAAAGAACUUUAAUGCCGCUCAGAAUGAGGCCACCCAGUAGUUAGGUGUGAAUUUUCGAGACCUCUGGCACCGUUCUAAGAUGGGUCCUCUCUUCGUAGGCUAAUGCAUUGGCCCUUUUUGACCCGUUUUGGGGCGAAAACAAAAAACUGACUCCCGGGCAUAUUUUUUUCGGCCUUUAUGGGCAGAGAACUUUAAUGCCGCUCAGAAUGAGGCCACCCAGUAGUUAGGUGUGAAUUUUCGAGACCUCUGGCACCGUUCUAAGAUGGGUCCUCUCUUCGUAGGCUAAUGCAUUGGCCCUUUUUGACCCGUUUUGGGGCGAAAACAAAAACUGACUCCCGGGCAUAUUUUUUUCGGCCUUUAUGGGCAGAGAACUUUAAUACCGCUCAGAAUGAGGCCACCCAGUAGUUAGGUGUGAAUUUUCGAGACCUCUGGCACCGUUCUAAGAUGGGUCCUCUCUUCGUAGGCUAAUGCAUUGGCCCUUUUUGACCCGUUUUGGGGCGAAAACAAAAACUGACUCCCGGGCAUAUUUUUUUCGGCCUUUAUGGGCAGAGAACUUUAAUACCGCUCAGAAUGAGGCCACCCAGUAGUUAGGUGUGAAUUUUCGAGACCCUCUGGCACCGUUCUAAGAUGGGUCCUCUCUUCGUAGGCUAAUGCAUUGGCCCUUUUUGACCCGUUUUGGGGCGAAAACAAAAACUGACUCCCGGGCAUAUUUUUUUCGGCCUUUAUGGGCAGAGAACUUUAAUACCGCUCAGAAUGAGGCCACCCAGUAGUUAGGUGUGAAUUUUCGAGACCUCUUGGCACCGUUCUAAGAUGGGUCCUCUCUUCGUAGGCUAAUGCAUUGGCCCUUUUUGACCCGUUUUGGGGCGAAAACAAAAACUGACUCCCGGGCAUAUUUUUUUCGGCCUUUAUGGGCAGAGAACUUUAAUGCCGCUCAGAAUGAGGCCACCCAGUAGUUAGGUGUGAAUUUUCGAGACCUCUGGCACCGUUCUAAGAUGGGUCCUCUCUUCGUAGGCUAAUGCAUUGGCCCUUUUUGACCCGUUUUGGGGCGAAAACAAAAACUGACUCCCGGGCAUAUUUUUUUCGGCCUUUAUGGGCAGAGAACUUUAAUACCGCUCAAAAAUGAGGCCACCCAGUAGUUAGGUGUGAAUUUUCGAGACCUCUGGCACCGUUCUAAGAUGGGUCCUCUCUUCGUAGGCUAAUGCAUUGGCCCUUUUUGACCCGUUUUGGGGCGAAAACAAAAACUGACUCCCGGGCAUAUUUUUUUCGGCCUUUAUGGGCAGAGAACUUUAAUACCGCUCAGAAUGAGGCCACCCAGUAGUUAGGUGUGAAUUUUCGAGACCUUUGGCACCGUUCUAAGAUGGGUCCUCUCUUCGUAGGCUAAUGCAUUGGCCCUUUUUGACCCGUUUUGGGGCGAAAACAAAAACUGACUCCCGGGCAUAUUUUUUUCGGCCUUUAUGGGCAGAGAACUUUAAUGCCGCUCAGAAUGAGGCCACCCAGUAGUUAGGUGUGAAUUUUCGAGACCUCUGGCACCGUUCUAAGAUGGGUCCUCUCUUCGUAGGCUAAUGCAUUGGCCCUUUUUGACCCGUUUUGGGGCGAAAACAAAAACUGACUCCCGGGCAUAUUUUUUUCGGCCUUUAUGGGCAGAGAACUUUAAUGCCGCUCAGAAUGAGGCCACCCAGUAGUUAGGUGUGAAUUUUCGAGACCUCUGGCACCGUUCUAAGAUGGGUCCUCUCUUCGUAGGCUAAUGCAUUGGCCCUUUUUGACCCGUUUUGGGGCGAAAACAAAAACUGACUCCCGGGCAUAUUUUUUUCGGCCUUUAUGGGCAGAGAACUUUAAUACCGCUCAGAAUGAGGCCACCCAGUAGUUAGGUGUGAAUUUUCGAGACCUCUGGCACCGUUCUAAGAUGGGUCCUCUCUUCGUAGGCUAAUGCAUUGGCCCUUUUUGACCCGUUUUGGGGCGAAAACAAAAACUGACUCCCGGGCAUAUUUUUUUCGGCCUUUAUGGGCAGAGAACUUUAAUACCGCUCAGAAUGAGGCCACCCAGUAGUUAGGUGUGAAUUUUCGAGACCUCUGGCACCGUUCUAAGAUGGGUCCUCUCUUCGUAGGCUAAUGCAUUGGCCCUUUUUGACCCGUUUUGGGGCGAAAACAAAAACUGACUCCCGGGCAUAUUUUUUUCGGCCUUUAUGGGCAGAGAACUUUAAUACCGCUCAGAAUGAGGCCACCCAGUAGUUAGGUGUGAAUUUUCGAGACCUUCUGGCACCGUUCUAAGAUGGGUCCUCUCUUCGUAGGCUAAUGCAUUGGCCCUUUUUGACCCGUUUUGGGGCGAAAACAAAAACUGACUCCCGGGCAUAUUUUUUUCGGCCUUUAUGGGCAGAGAACUUUAAUGCCGCUCAGAAUGAGGCCACCCAGUAGUUAGGUGUGAAUUUUCGAGACCUCUGGCACCGUUCUAAGAUGGGUCCUCUCUUCGUAGGCUAAUGCAUUGGCCCUUUUUGACCCGUUUUGGGGCGAAAACAAAAACUGACUCCCGGGCAUAUUUUUUUCGGCCUUUAUGGGCAGAGAACUUUAAUACCGCUCAGAAUGAGGCCACCCAGUAGUUAGGUGUGAAUUUUCGAGACCUCUGGCACCGUUCUAAGAUGGGUCCUCUCUUCGUAGGCUAAUGCAUUGGCCCUUUUUGACCCGUUUUGGGGCGAAAACAAAAACUGACUCCCGGGCAUAUUUUUUUCGGCCUUUAUGGGCAGAGAACUUUAAUACCGCUCAGAAUGAGGCCACCCAGUAGUUAGGUGUGAAUUUUCGAGACCUCUGGCACCGUUCUAAGAUGGGUCCUCUCUUCGUAGGCUAAUGCAUUGGCCCUUUUUGACCCGUUUUGGGGCGAAAACAAAAACUGACUCCCGGGCAUAUUUUUUUCGGCCUUUAUGGGCAGAGAACUUUAAUGCCGCUCAGAAUGAGGCCACCCAGUAGUUAGGUGUGAAUUUUCGAGACCUCUGGCACCGUUCUAAGAUGGGUCCUCUCUUCGUAGGCUAAUGCAUUGGCCCUUUUUGACCCGUUUUGGGGCGAAAACAAAAACUGACUCCCGGGCAUAUUUUUUUCGGCCUUUAUGGGCAGAGAACUUUAAUACCGCUCAGAAAUGAGGCCACCCAGUAGUUAGGUGUGAAUUUUCGAGACCUCUGGCACCGUUCUAAGAUGGGUCCUCUCUUCGUAGGCUAAUGCAUUGGCCCUUUUUGACCCGUUUUGGGGCGAAAACAAAAACUGACUCCCGGGCAUAUUUUUUUCGGCCUUUAUGGGCAGAGAACUUUAAUACCGCUCAGAAUGAGGCCACCCAGUAGUUAGGUGUGAAUUUUCGAGACCUCUCGGCACCGUUCUAAGAUGGGUCCUCUCUUCGUAGGCUAAUGCAUUGGCCCUUUUUGACCCGUUUUGGGGCGAAAACAAAAACUGACUCCCGGGCAUAUUUUUUUCGGCCUUUAUGGGCAGAGAACUUUAAUGCCGCUCAGAAAUGAGGCCACCCAGUAGUUAGGUGUGAAUUUUCGAGACCUCUGGCACCGUUCUAAGAUGGGUCCUCUCUUCGUAGGCUAAUGCAUUGGCCCUUUUUGACCCGUUUUGGGGCGAAAACAAAAACUGACUCCCGGGCAUAUUUUUUUCGGCCUUUAUGGGCAGAGAACUUUAAUACCGCUCAGAAUGAGGCCACCCAGUAGUUAGGUGUGAAUUUUCGAGACCUCUGGCACCGUUCUAAGAUGGGUCCUCUCUUCGUAGGCUAAUGCAUUGGCCCUUUUUGACCCGUUUUGGGGCGAAAACAAAAACUGACUCCCGGGCAUAUUUUUUUCGGCCUUUAUGGGCAGAGAACUUUAAUACCGCUCAGAAUGAGGCCACCCAGUAGUUAGGUGUGAAUUUUCGAGACCUCUUGGCACCGUUCUAAGAUGGGUCCUCUCUUCGUAGGCUAAUGCAUUGGCCCUUUUUGACCCGUUUUGGGGCGAAAACAAAAACUGACUCCCGGGCAUAUUUUUUUCGGCCUUUAUGGGCAGAGAACUUUAAUGCCGCUCAGAAUGAGGCCACCCAGUAGUUAGGUGUGAAUUUUCGAGACCUCUGGCACCGUUCUAAGAUGGGUCCUCUCUUCGUAGGCUAAUGCAUUGGCCCUUUUUGACCCGUUUUGGGGCGAAAACAAAAACUGACUCCCGGGCAUAUUUUUUUCGGCCUUUAUGGGCAGAGAACUUUAAUGCCGCUCAGAAUGAGGCCACCCAGUAGUUAGGUGUGAAUUUUCGAGACCUUUGGCACCGUUCUAAGAUGGGUCCUCUCUUCGUAGGCUAAUGCAUUGGCCCUUUUUGACCCGUUUUGGGGCGAAAACAAAAACUGACUCCCGGGCAUAUUUUUUUCGGCCUUUAUGGGCAGAGAACUUUAAUACCGCUCAGAAUGAGGCCACCCAGUAGUUAGGUGUGAAUUUUCGAGACCUCUGGCACCGUUCUAAGAUGGGUCCUCUCUUCGUAGGCUAAUGCAUUGGCCCUUUUUGACCCGUUUUGGGGCGAAAACAAAAACUGACUCCCGGGCAUAUUUUUUUCGGCCUUUAUGGGCAGAGAACUUUAAUGCCGCUCAGAAUGAGGCCACCCAGUAGUUAGGUGUGAAUUUUCGAGACCUCUGGCACCGUUCUAAGAUGGGUCCUCUCUUCGUAGGCUAAUGCAUUGGCCCUUUUUGACCCGUUUUGGGGCGAAAACAAAAACUGACUCCCGGGCAUAUUUUUUUCGGCCUUUAUGGGCAGAGAACUUUAAUACCGCUCAGAAUGAGGCCACCCAGUAGUUAGGUGUGAAUUUUCGAGACCUCUGGCACCGUUCUAAGAUGGGUCCUCUCUUCGUAGGCUAAUGCAUUGGCCCUUUUUGACCCGUUUUGGGGCGAAAACAAAAACUGACUCCCGGGCAUAUUUUUUUCGGCCUUUAUGGGCAGAGAACUCUUAAUAGCCGCUCAGAAAUGGCCAGGCCACCCAGUAGUUAGGUGUGAAUUUUCGAGACCUCUGGCACCGUUCUAAGAUGGGUCCUCUCUUCGUAGGCUAAUGCAUUGGCCCUUUUUGACCCGUUUUGGGGCGAAAACAAAAACUGACUCCCGGGCAUAUUUUUUUCGGCCUUUAUGGGCAGAGAACUUUAAUGCCGCUCAGAAUGAGGCCACCCAGUAGUUAGGUGUGAAUUUUCGAGACCUCUGGCACCGUUCUAAGAUGGGUCCUCUCUUCGUAGGCUAAUGCAUUGGCCCUUUUUGACCCGUUUUGGGGCGAAAACAAAAACUGACUCCCGGGCAUAUUUUUUUCGGCCUUUAUGGGCAGAGAACUUUAAUGCCGCUCAGAAUGAGGCCACCCAGUAGUUAGGUGUGAAUUUUCGAGACCUUUGGCACCGUUCUAAGAUGGGUCCUCUCUUCGUAGGCUAAUGCAUUGGCCCUUUUUGACCCGUUUUGGGGCGAAAACAAAAACUGACUCCCGGGCAUAUUUUUUUCGGCCUUUAUGGGCAGAGAACUUUAAUGCCGCUCAGAAUGAGGCCACCCAGUAGUUAGGUGUGAAUUUUCGAGACCUCUGGCACCGUUCUAAGAUGGGUCCUCUCUUCGUAGGCUAAUGCAUUGGCCCUUUUUGACCCGUUUUGGGGCGAAAACAAAAACUGACUCCCGGGCAUAUUUUUUUCGGCCUUUAUGGGCAGAGAACUUUAAUACCGCUCAGAAUGAGGCCACCCAGUAGUUAGGUGUGAAUUUUCGAGACCUUUGGCACCGUUCUAAGAUGGGUCCUCUCUUCGUAGGCUAAUGCAUUGGCCCUUUUUGACCCGUUUUGGGGCGAAAACAAAAACUGACUCCCGGGCAUAUUUUUUUCGGCCUUUAUGGGCAGAGAACUUUAAUACCGCUCAGAAUGAGGCCACCCAGUAGUUAGGUGUGAAUUUUCGAGACCUCUGGCACCGUUCUAAGAUGGGUCCUCUCUUCGUAGGCUAAUGCAUUGGCCCUUUUUGACCCGUUUUGGGGCGAAAACAAAAACUGACUCCCGGGCAUAUUUUUUUCGGCCUUUAUGGGCAGAGAACUUUAAUGCCGCUCAGAAUGAGGCCACCCAGUAGUUAGGUGUGAAUUUUCGAGACCUUUGGCCACCGUUCUAAGAUGGGUCCUCUCUUCGUAGGCUAAUGCAUUGGCCCUUUUUGACCCGUUUUGGGGCGAAAACAAAAACUGACUCCCGGGCAUAUUUUUUUCGGCCUUUAUGGGCAGAGAACUUUAAUACCGCUCAGAAUGAGGCCACCCAGUAGUUAGGUGUGAAUUUUCGAGACCUUUGGCACCGUUCUAAGAUGGGUCCUCUCUUCGUAGGCUAAUGCAUUGGCCCUUUUUGACCCGUUUUGGGGCGAAAACAAAAACUGACUCCCGGGCAUAUUUUUUUCGGCCUUUAUGGGCAGAGAACUUUAAUACCGCUCAGAAUGAGGCCACCCAGUAGUUAGGUGUGAAUUUUCGAGACCUUCUGGCACCGUUCUAAGAUGGGUCCUCUCUUCGUAGGCUAAUGCAUUGGCCCUUUUUGACCCGUUUUGGGGCGAAAACAAAAACUGACUCCCGGGCAUAUUUUUUUCGGCCUUUAUGGGCAGAGAACUUUAAUGCCGCUCAGAAUGAGGCCACCCAGUAGUUAGGUGUGAAUUUUCGAGACCUCUGGCACCGUUCUAAGAUGGGUCCUCUCUUCGUAGGCUAAUGCAUUGGCCCUUUUUGACCCGUUUUGGGGCGAAAACAAAAACUGACUCCCGGGCAUAUUUUUUUCGGCCUUUAUGGGCAGAGAACUUUAAUACCGCUCAGAAUGAGGCCACCCAGUAGUUAGGUGUGAAUUUUCGAGACCUUUGGCACCGUUCUAAGAUGGGUCCUCUCUUCGUAGGCUAAUGCAUUGGCCCUUUUUGACCCGUUUUGGGGCGAAAACAAAAACUGACUCCCGGGCAUAUUUUUUUCGGCCUUUAUGGGCAGAGAACUUUAAUGCCGCUCAGAAUGAGGCCACCCAGUAGUUAGGUGUGAAUUUUCGAGACCUUUGGCACCGUUCUAAGAUGGGUCCUCUCUUCGUAGGCUAAUGCAUUGGCCCUUUUUGACCCGUUUUGGGGCGAAAACAAAAACUGACUCCCGGGCAUAUUUUUUUCGGCCUUUAUGGGCAGAGAACUUUAAUACCGCUCAAAAUGAGGCCACCCAGUAGUUAGGUGUGAAUUUUCGAGACCUCUGGCACCGUUCUAAGAUGGGUCCUCUCUUCGUAGGCUAAUGCAUUGGCCCUUUUUGACCCGUUUUGGGGCGAAAACAAAAACUGACUCCCGGGCAUAUUUUUUUCGGCCUUUAUGGGCAGAGAACUUUAAUACCGCUCAAAAUGAGGCCACCCAGUAGUUAGGUGUGAAUUUUCGAGACCUUUGGCACCGUUCUAAGAUGGGUCCUCUCUUCGUAGGCUAAUGCAUUGGCCCUUUUUGACCCGUUUUGGGGCGAAAACAAAAACUGACUCCCGGGCAUAUUUUUUUCGGCCUUUAUGGGCAGAGAACUUUAAUGCCGCUCAGAAUGAGGCCACCCAGUAGUUAGGUGUGAAUUUUCGAGACCUUUGGCACCGUUCUAAGAUGGGUCCUCUCUUCGUAGGCUAAUGCAUUGGCCCUUUUUGACCCGUUUUGGGGCGAAAACAAAAACUGACUCCCGGGCAUAUUUUUUUCGGCCUUUAUGGGCAGAGAACUUUAAUACCGCUCAAAAUGAGGCCACCCAGUAGUUAGGUGUGAAUUUUCGAGACCUUUGGCACCGUUCUAAGAUGGGUCCUCUCUUCGUAGGCUAAUGCAUUGGCCCUUUUUGACCCGUUUUGGGGCGAAAACAAAAACUGACUCCCGGGCAUAUUUUUUUCGGCCUUUAUGGGCAGAGAACUUUAAUACCGCUCAAAAUGAGGCCACCCAGUAGUUAGGUGUGAAUUUUCGAGACCUUUGGCACCGUUCUAAGAUGGGUCCUCUCUUCGUAGGCUAAUGCAUUGGCCCUUUUUGACCCGUUUUGGGGCGAAAACAAAAACUGACUCCCGGGCAUAUUUUUUUCGGCCUUUAUGGGCAGAGAACUUUAAUACCGCUCAAAAUGAGGCCACCCAGUAGUUAGGUGUGAAUUUUCGAGACCUCUGGCACCGUUCUAAGAUGGGUCCUCUCUUCGUAGGCUAAUGCAUUGGCCCUUUUUGACCCGUUUUGGGGCGAAAACAAAAACUGACUCCCGGGCAUAUUUUUUUCGGCCUUUAUGGGCAGAGAACUUUAAUGCCGCUCAAAAUGAGGCCACCCAGUAGUUAGGUGUGAAUUUUCGAGACCUCUGGCACCGUUCUAAGAUGGGUCCUCUCUUCGUAGGCUAAUGCAUUGGCCCUUUUUGACCCGUUUUGGGGCGAAAACAAAAACUGACUCCCGGGCAUAUUUUUUUCGGCCUUUAUGGGCAGAGAACUUUAAUACCGCUCAGAAUGAGGCCACCCAGUAGUUAGGUGUGAAUUUUCGAGACCUUUGGCACCGUUCUAAGAUGGGUCCUCUCUUCGUAGGCUAAUGCAUUGGCCCUUUUUGACCCGUUUUGGGGCGAAAACAAAAACUGACUCCCGGGCAUAUUUUUUUCGGCCUUUAUGGGCAGAGAACUUUAAUACCGCUCAAAAUGAGGCCACCCAGUAGUUAGGUGUGAAUUUUCGAGACCUUUGGCACCGUUCUAAGAUGGGUCCUCUCUUCGUAGGCUAAUGCAUUGGCCCUUUUUGACCCGUUUUGGGGCGAAAACAAAAACUGACUCCCGGGCAUAUUUUUUUCGGCCUUUAUGGGCAGAGAACUUUAAUACCGCUCAAAAUGAGGCCACCCAGUAGUUAGGUGUGAAUUUUCGAGACCUUUGGCACCGUUCUAAGAUGGGUCCUCUCUUCGUAGGCUAAUGCAUUGGCCCUUUUUGACCCGUUUUGGGGCGAAAACAAAAACUGACUCCCGGGCAUAUUUUUUUCGGCCUUUAUGGGCAGAGAACUUUAAUACCGCUCAAAAUGAGGCCACCCAGUAGUUAGGUGUGAAUUUUCGAGACCUUUGGCACCGUUCUAAGAUGGGUCCUCUCUUCGUAGGCUAAUGCAUUGGCCCUUUUUGACCCGUUUUGGGGCGAAAACAAAAACUGACUCCCGGGCAUAUUUUUUUCGGCCUUUAUGGGCAGAGAACUUUAAUACCGCUCAAAAUGAGGCCACCCAGUAGUUAGGUGUGAAUUUUCGAGACCUUUGGCACCGUUCUAAGAUGGGUCCUCUCUUCGUAGGCUAAUGCAUUGGCCCUUUUUGACCCGUUUUGGGGCGAAAACAAAAACUGACUCCCGGGCAUAUUUUUUUCGGCCUUUAUGGGCAGAGAACUUUAAUACCGCUCAAAAUGAGGCCACCCAGUAGUUAGGUGUGAAUUUUCGAGACCUUUGGCACCGUUCUAAGAUGGGUCCUCUCUUCGUAGGCUAAUGCAUUGGCCCUUUUUGACCCGUUUUGGGGCGAAAACAAAAACUGACUCCCGGGCAUAUUUUUUUCGGCCUUUAUGGGCAGAGAACUUUAAUACCGCUCAAAAUGAGGCCACCCAGUAGUUAGGUGUGAAUUUUCGAGACCUUUGGCACCGUUCUAAGAUGGGUCCUCUCUUCGUAGGCUAAUGCAUUGGCCCUUUUUGACCCGUUUUGGGGCGAAAACAAAAACUGACUCCCGGGCAUAUUUUUUUCGGCCUUUAUGGGCAGAGAACUUUAAUACCGCUCAAAAUGAGGCCACCCAGUAGUUAGGUGUGAAUUUUCGAGACCUUUGGCACCGUUCUAAGAUGGGUCCUCUCUUCGUAGGCUAAUGCAUUGGCCCUUUUUGACCCGUUUUGGGGCGAAAACAAAAACUGACUCCCGGGCAUAUUUUUUUCGGCCUUUAUGGGCAGAGAACUUUAAUACCGCUCAAAAUGAGGCCACCCAGUAGUUAGGUGUGAAUUUUCGAGACCUUUGGCACCGUUCUAAGAUGGGUCCUCUCUUCGUAGGCUAAUGCAUUGGCCCUUUUUGACCCGUUUUGGGGCGAAAACAAAAACUGACUCCCGGGCAUAUUUUUUUCGGCCUUUAUGGGCAGAGAACUUUAAUACCGCUCAAAAUGAGGCCACCCAGUAGUUAGGUGUGAAUUUUCGAGACCUUUGGCACCGUUCUAAGAUGGGUCCUCUCUUCGUAGGCUAAUGCAUUGGCCCUUUUUGACCCGUUUUGGGGCGAAAACAAAAACUGACUCCCGGGCAUAUUUUUUUCGGCCUUUAUGGGCAGAGAACUUUAAUACCGCUCAAAAUGAGGCCACCCAGUAGUUAGGUGUGAAUUUUCGAGACCUUUGGCACCGUUCUAAGAUGGGUCCUCUCUUCGUAGGCUAAUGCAUUGGCCCUUUUUGACCCGUUUUGGGGCGAAAACAAAAACUGACUCCCGGGCAUAUUUUUUUCGGCCUUUAUGGGCAGAGAACUUUAAUACCGCUCAAAAUGAGGCCACCCAGUAGUUAGGUGUGAAUUUUCGAGACCUUUGGCACCGUUCUAAGAUGGGUCCUCUCUUCGUAGGCUAAUGCAUUGGCCCUUUUUGACCCGUUUUGGGGCGAAAACAAAAACUGACUCCCGGGCAUAUUUUUUUCGGCCUUUAUGGGCAGAGAACUUUAAUACCGCUCAAAAUGAGGCCACCCAGUAGUUAGGUGUGAAUUUUCGAGACCUUUGGCACCGUUCUAAGAUGGGUCCUCUCUUCGUAGGCUAAUGCAUUGGCCCUUUUUGACCCGUUUUGGGGCGAAAACAAAAACUGACUCCCGGGCAUAUUUUUUUCGGCCUUUAUGGGCAGAGAACUUUAAUACCGCUCAAAAUGAGGCCACCCAGUAGUUAGGUGUGAAUUUUCGAGACCUUUGGCACCGUUCUAAGAUGGGUCCUCUCUUCGUAGGCUAAUGCAUUGGCCCUUUUUGACCCGUUUUGGGGCGAAAACAAAAACUGACUCCCGGGCAUAUUUUUUUCGGCCUUUAUGGGCAGAGAACUUUAAUACCGCUCAAAAUGAGGCCACCCAGUAGUUAGGUGUGAAUUUUCGAGACCUUUGGCACCGUUCUAAGAUGGGUCCUCUCUUCGUAGGCUAAUGCAUUGGCCCUUUUUGACCCGUUUUGGGGCGAAAACAAAAACUGACUCCCGGGCAUAUUUUUUUCGGCCUUUAUGGGCAGAGAACUUUAAUACCGCUCAAAAUGAGGCCACCCAGUAGUUAGGUGUGAAUUUUCGAGACCUUUGGCACCGUUCUAAGAUGGGUCCUCUCUUCGUAGGCUAAUGCAUUGGCCCUUUUUGACCCGUUUUGGGGCGAAAACAAAAACUGACUCCCGGGCAUAUUUUUUUCGGCCUUUAUGGGCAGAGAACUUUAAUACCGCUCAAAAUGAGGCCACCCAGUAGUUAGGUGUGAAUUUUCGAGACCUUUGGCACCGUUCUAAGAUGGGUCCUCUCUUCGUAGGCUAAUGCAUUGGCCCUUUUUGACCCGUUUUGGGGCGAAAACAAAAACUGACUCCCGGGCAUAUUUUUUUCGGCCUUUAUGGGCAGAGAACUUUAAUACCGCUCAAAAUGAGGCCACCCAGUAGUUAGGUGUGAAUUUUCGAGACCUUUGGCACCGUUCUAAGAUGGGUCCUCUCUUCGUAGGCUAAUGCAUUGGCCCUUUUUGACCCGUUUUGGGGCGAAAACAAAAACUGACUCCCGGGCAUAUUUUUUUCGGCCUUUAUGGGCAGAGAACUUUAAUACCGCUCAAAAUGAGGCCACCCAGUAGUUAGGUGUGAAUUUUCGAGACCUUUGGCACCGUUCUAAGAUGGGUCCUCUCUUCGUAGGCUAAUGCAUUGGCCCUUUUUGACCCGUUUUGGGGCGAAAACAAAAACUGACUCCCGGGCAUAUUUUUUUCGGCCUUUAUGGGCAGAGAACUUUAAUACCGCUCAAAAUGAGGCCACCCAGUAGUUAGGUGUGAAUUUUCGAGACCUUUGGCACCGUUCUAAGAUGGGUCCUCUCUUCGUAGGCUAAUGCAUUGGCCCUUUUUGACCCGUUUUGGGGCGAAAACAAAAACUGACUCCCGGGCAUAUUUUUUUCGGCCUUUAUGGGCAGAGAACUUUAAUACCGCUCAAAAUGAGGCCACCCAGUAGUUAGGUGUGAAUUUUCGAGACCUUUGGCACCGUUCUAAGAUGGGUCCUCUCUUCGUAGGCUAAUGCAUUGGCCCUUUUUGACCCGUUUUGGGGCGAAAACAAAAACUGACUCCCGGGCAUAUUUUUUUCGGCCUUUAUGGGCAGAGAACUUUAAUACCGCUCAAAAUGAGGCCACCCAGUAGUUAGGUGUGAAUUUUCGAGACCUUUGGCACCGUUCUAAGAUGGGUCCUCUCUUCGUAGGCUAAUGCAUUGGCCCUUUUUGACCCGUUUUGGGGCGAAAACAAAAACUGACUCCCGGGCAUAUUUUUUUCGGCCUUUAUGGGCAGAGAACUUUAAUACCGCUCAAAAUGAGGCCACCCAGUAGUUAGGUGUGAAUUUUCGAGACCUUUGGCACCGUUCUAAGAUGGGUCCUCUCUUCGUAGGCUAAUGCAUUGGCCCUUUUUGACCCGUUUUGGGGCGAAAACAAAAACUGACUCCCGGGCAUAUUUUUUUCGGCCUUUAUGGGCAGAGAACUUUAAUACCGCUCAAAAUGAGGCCACCCAGUAGUUAGGUGUGAAUUUUCGAGACCUUUGGCACCGUUCUAAGAUGGGUCCUCUCUUCGUAGGCUAAUGCAUUGGCCCUUUUUGACCCGUUUUGGGGCGAAAACAAAAACUGACUCCCGGGCAUAUUUUUUUCGGCCUUUAUGGGCAGAGAACUUUAAUACCGCUCAAAAUGAGGCCACCCAGUAGUUAGGUGUGAAUUUUCGAGACCUUUGGCACCGUUCUAAGAUGGGUCCUCUCUUCGUAGGCUAAUGCAUUGGCCCUUUUUGACCCGUUUUGGGGCGAAAACAAAAACUGACUCCCGGGCAUAUUUUUUUCGGCCUUUAUGGGCAGAGAACUUUAAUACCGCUCAAAAUGAGGCCACCCAGUAGUUAGGUGUGAAUUUUCGAGACCUUUGGCACCGUUCUAAGAUGGGUCCUCUCUUCGUAGGCUAAUGCAUUGGCCCUUUUUGACCCGUUUUGGGGCGAAAACAAAAACUGACUCCCGGGCAUAUUUUUUUCGGCCUUUAUGGGCAGAGAACUUUAAUACCGCUCAAAAUGAGGCCACCCAGUAGUUAGGUGUGAAUUUUCGAGACCUUUGGCACCGUUCUAAGAUGGGUCCUCUCUUCGUAGGCUAAUGCAUUGGCCCUUUUUGACCCGUUUUGGGGCGAAAACAAAAACUGACUCCCGGGCAUAUUUUUUUCGGCCUUUAUGGGCAGAGAACUUUAAUACCGCUCAAAAUGAGGCCACCCAGUAGUUAGGUGUGAAUUUUCGAGACCUUUGGCACCGUUCUAAGAUGGGUCCUCUCUUCGUAGGCUAAUGCAUUGGCCCUUUUUGACCCGUUUUGGGGCGAAAACAAAAACUGACUCCCGGGCAUAUUUUUUUCGGCCUUUAUGGGCAGAGAACUUUAAUACCGCUCAAAAUGAGGCCACCCAGUAGUUAGGUGUGAAUUUUCGAGACCUUUGGCACCGUUCUAAGAUGGGUCCUCUCUUCGUAGGCUAAUGCAUUGGCCCUUUUUGACCCGUUUUGGGGCGAAAACAAAAACUGACUCCCGGGCAUAUUUUUUUCGGCCUUUAUGGGCAGAGAACUUUAAUACCGCUCAAAAUGAGGCCACCCAGUAGUUAGGUGUGAAUUUUCGAGACCUUUGGCACCGUUCUAAGAUGGGUCCUCUCUUCGUAGGCUAAUGCAUUGGCCCUUUUUGACCCGUUUUGGGGCGAAAACAAAAACUGACUCCCGGGCAUAUUUUUUUCGGCCUUUAUGGGCAGAGAACUUUAAUACCGCUCAAAAUGAGGCCACCCAGUAGUUAGGUGUGAAUUUUCGAGACCUUUGGCACCGUUCUAAGAUGGGUCCUCUCUUCGUAGGCUAAUGCAUUGGCCCUUUUUGACCCGUUUUGGGGCGAAAACAAAAACUGACUCCCGGGCAUAUUUUUUUCGGCCUUUAUGGGCAGAGAACUUUAAUACCGCUCAAAAUGAGGCCACCCAGUAGUUAGGUGUGAAUUUUCGAGACCUUUGGCACCGUUCUAAGAUGGGUCCUCUCUUCGUAGGCUAAUGCAUUGGCCCUUUUUGACCCGUUUUGGGGCGAAAACAAAAACUGACUCCCGGGCAUAUUUUUUUCGGCCUUUAUGGGCAGAGAACUUUAAUACCGCUCAAAAUGAGGCCACCCAGUAGUUAGGUGUGAAUUUUCGAGACCUUUGGCACCGUUCUAAGAUGGGUCCUCUCUUCGUAGGCUAAUGCAUUGGCCCUUUUUGACCCGUUUUGGGGCGAAAACAAAAACUGACUCCCGGGCAUAUUUUUUUCGGCCUUUAUGGGCAGAGAACUUUAAUACCGCUCAAAAUGAGGCCACCCAGUAGUUAGGUGUGAAUUUUCGAGACCUUUGGCACCGUUCUAAGAUGGGUCCUCUCUUCGUAGGCUAAUGCAUUGGCCCUUUUUGACCCGUUUUGGGGCGAAAACAAAAACUGACUCCCGGGCAUAUUUUUUUCGGCCUUUAUGGGCAGAGAACUUUAAUACCGCUCAAAAUGAGGCCACCCAGUAGUUAGGUGUGAAUUUUCGAGACCUCUUGGCACCGUUCUAAGAUGGGUCCUCUCUUCGUAGGCUAAUGCAUUGGCCCUUUUUGACCCGUUUUGGGGCGAAAACAAAAACUGACUCCCGGGCAUAUUUUUUUCGGCCUUUAUGGGCAGAGAACUUUAAUACCGCUCAAAAUGAGGCCACCCAGUAGUUAGGUGUGAAUUUUCGAGACCUCUGGCACCGUUCUAAGAUGGGUCCUCUCUUCGUAGGCUAAUGCAUUGGCCCUUUUUGACCCGUUUUGGGGCGAAAACAAAAACUGACUCCCGGGCAUAUUUUUUUCGGCCUUUAUGGGCAGAGAACUUUAAUGCCGCUCAAAAUGAGGCCACCCAGUAGUUAGGUGUGAAUUUUCGAGACCUCUGGCACCGUUCUAAGAUGGGUCCUCUCUUCGUAGGCUAAUGCAUUGGCCCUUUUUGACCCGUUUUGGGGCGAAAACAAAAACUGACUCCCGGGCAUAUUUUUUUCGGCCUUUAUGGGCAGAGAACUUUAAUACCGCUCAGAAUGAGGCCACCCAGUAGUUAGGUGUGAAUUUUCGAGACCUUCUGGCACCGUUCUAAGAUGGGUCCUCUCUUCGUAGGCUAAUGCAUUGGCCCUUUUUGACCCGUUUUGGGGCGAAAACAAAAACUGACUCCCGGGCAUAUUUUUUUCGGCCUUUAUGGGCAGAGAACUUUAAUACCGCUCAGAAUGAGGCCACCCAGUAGUUAGGUGUGAAUUUUCGAGACCUCUGGCACCGUUCUAAGAUGGGUCCUCUCUUCGUAGGCUAAUGCAUUGGCCCUUUUUGACCCGUUUUGGGGCGAAAACAAAAACUGACUCCCGGGCAUAUUUUUUUCGGCCUUUAUGGGCAGAGAACUUUAAUACCGCUCAGAAUGAGGCCACCCAGUAGUUAGGUGUGAAUUUUCGAGACCUUUGGCACCGUUCUAAGAUGGGUCCUCUCUUCGUAGGCUAAUGCAUUGGCCCUUUUUGACCCGUUUUGGGGCGAAAACAAAAACUGACUCCCGGGCAUAUUUUUUUCGGCCUUUAUGGGCAGAGAACUUUAAUGCCGCUCAGAAUGAGGCCACCCAGUAGUUAGGUGUGAAUUUUCGAGACCUUUGGCACCGUUCUAAGAUGGGUCCUCUCUUCGUAGGCUAAUGCAUUGGCCCUUUUUGACCCGUUUUGGGGCGAAAACAAAAACUGACUCCCGGGCAUAUUUUUUUCGGCCUUUAUGGGCAGAGAACUUUAAUGCCGCUCAGAAUGAGGCCACCCAGUAGUUAGGUGUGAAUUUUCGAGACCUCUGGCACCGUUCUAAGAUGGGUCCUCUCUUCGUAGGCUAAUGCAUUGGCCCUUUUUGACCCGUUUUGGGGCGAAAACAAAAACUGACUCCCGGGCAUAUUUUUUUCGGCCUUUAUGGGCAGAGAACUUUAAUACCGCUCAAAAUGAGGCCACCCAGUAGUUAGGUGUGAAUUUUCGAGACCUUUGGCACCGUUCUAAGAUGGGUCCUCUCUUCGUAGGCUAAUGCAUUGGCCCUUUUUGACCCGUUUUGGGGCGAAAACAAAAACUGACUCCCGGGCAUAUUUUUUUCGGCCUUUAUGGGCAGAGAACUUUAAUACCGCUCAAAAUGAGGCCACCCAGUAGUUAGGUGUGAAUUUUCGAGACCUCUGGCACCGUUCUAAGAUGGGUCCUCUCUUCGUAGGCUAAUGCAUUGGCCCUUUUUGACCCGUUUUGGGGCGAAAACAAAAACUGACUCCCGGGCAUAUUUUUUUCGGCCUUUAUGGGCAGAGAACUUUAAUACCGCUCAAAAUGAGGCCACCCAGUAGUUAGGUGUGAAUUUUCGAGACCUUUGGCACCGUUCUAAGAUGGGUCCUCUCUUCGUAGGCUAAUGCAUUGGCCCUUUUUGACCCGUUUUGGGGCGAAAACAAAAACUGACUCCCGGGCAUAUUUUUUUCGGCCUUUAUGGGCAGAGAACUUUAAUACCGCUCAGAAUGAGGCCACCCAGUAGUUAGGUGUGAAUUUUCGAGACCUUUGGCACCGUUCUAAGAUGGGUCCUCUCUUCGUAGGCUAAUGCAUUGGCCCUUUUUGACCCGUUUUGGGGCGAAAACAAAAACUGACUCCCGGGCAUAUUUUUUUCGGCCUUUAUGGGCAGAGAACUUUAAUACGCCGCUCAGAAUGAGGCCACCCAGUAGUUAGGUGUGAAUUUUCGAGACCUUUGGCACCGUUCUAAGAUGGGUCCUCUCUUCGUAGGCUAAUGCAUUGGCCCUUUUUGACCCGUUUUGGGGCGAAAACAAAAACUGACUCCCGGGCAUAUUUUUUUCGGCCUUUAUGGGCAGAGAACUUUAAUACCGCUCAGAAUGAGGCCACCCAGUAGUUAGGUGUGAAUUUUCGAGACCUUUGGCACCGUUCUAAGAUGGGUCCUCUCUUCGUAGGCUAAUGCAUUGGCCCUUUUUGACCCGUUUUGGGGCGAAAACAAAAACUGACUCCCGGGCAUAUUUUUUUCGGCCUUUAUGGGCAGAGAACUUUAAUACCGCUCAGAAUGAGGCCACCCAGUAGUUAGGUGUGAAUUUUCGAGACCUUUGGCACCGUUCUAAGAUGGGUCCUCUCUUCGUAGGCUAAUGCAUUGGCCCUUUUUGACCCGUUUUGGGGCGAAAACAAAAACUGACUCCCGGGCAUAUUUUUUUCGGCCUUUAUGGGCAGAGAACUUUAAUACCGCUCAAAAUGAGGCCACCCAGUAGUUAGGUGUGAAUUUUCGAGACCUUCUGGCACCGUUCUAAGAUGGGUCCUCUCUUCGUAGGCUAAUGCAUUGGCCCUUUUUGACCCGUUUUGGGGCGAAAACAAAAACUGACUCCCGGGCAUAUUUUUUUCGGCCUUUAUGGGCAGAGAACUUUAAUACCGCUCAAAAUGAGGCCACCCAGUAGUUAGGUGUGAAUUUUCGAGACCUCUGGCACCGUUCUAAGAUGGGUCCUCUCUUCGUAGGCUAAUGCAUUGGCCCUUUUUGACCCGUUUUGGGGCGAAAACAAAAACUGACUCCCGGGCAUAUUUUUUUCGGCCUUUAUGGGCAGAGAACUUUAAUACCCGCUCAGAAUGAGGCCACCCAGUAGUUAGGUGUGAAUUUUCGAGACCUUCUGGCACCGUUCUAAGAUGGGUCCUCUCUUCGUAGGCUAAUGCAUUGGCCCUUUUUGACCCGUUUUGGGGCGAAAACAAAAACUGACUCCCGGGCAUAUUUUUUUCGGCCUUUAUGGGCAGAGAACUUUAAUACCGCUCAAAAUGAGGCCACCCAGUAGUUAGGUGUGAAUUUUCGAGACCUCUGGCACCGUUCUAAGAUGGGUCCUCUCUUCGUAGGCUAAUGCAUUGGCCCUUUUUGACCCGUUUUGGGGCGAAAACAAAAACUGACUCCCGGGCAUAUUUUUUUCGGCCUUUAUGGGCAGAGAACUUUAAUACCGCUCAAAAUGAGGCCACCCAGUAGUUAGGUGUGAAUUUUCGAGACCUUUGGCACCGUUCUAAGAUGGGUCCUCUCUUCGUAGGCUAAUGCAUUGGCCCUUUUUGACCCGUUUUGGGGCGAAAACAAAAACUGACUCCCGGGCAUAUUUUUUUCGGCCUUUAUGGGCAGAGAACUUUAAUGCCGCUCAGAAUGAGGCCACCCAGUAGUUAGGUGUGAAUUUUCGAGACCUUUGGCACCGUUCUAAGAUGGGUCCUCUCUUCGUAGGCUAAUGCAUUGGCCCUUUUUGACCCGUUUUGGGGCGAAAACAAAAACUGACUCCCGGGCAUAUUUUUUUCGGCCUUUAUGGGCAGAGAACUUUAAUGCCGCUCAAAAUGAGGCCACCCAGUAGUUAGGUGUGAAUUUUCGAGACCUUUGGCACCGUUCUAAGAUGGGUCCUCUCUUCGUAGGCUAAUGCAUUGGCCCUUUUUGACCCGUUUUGGGGCGAAAACAAAAACUGACUCCCGGGCAUAUUUUUUUCGGCCUUUAUGGGCAGAGAACUUUAAUACCGCUCAAAAUGAGGCCACCCAGUAGUUAGGUGUGAAUUUUCGAGACCUUUGGCACCGUUCUAAGAUGGGUCCUCUCUUCGUAGGCUAAUGCAUUGGCCCUUUUUGACCCGUUUUGGGGCGAAAACAAAAACUGACUCCCGGGCAUAUUUUUUUCGGCCUUUAUGGGCAGAGAACUUUAAUGCCGCUCAAAAUGAGGCCACCCAGUAGUUAGGUGUGAAUUUUCGAGACCUUUGGCACCGUUCUAAGAUGGGUCCUCUCUUCGUAGGCUAAUGCAUUGGCCCUUUUUGACCCGUUUUGGGGCGAAAACAAAAACUGACUCCCGGGCAUAUUUUUUUCGGCCUUUAUGGGCAGAGAACUUUAAUACCCGCUCAGAAUGAGGCCACCCAGUAGUUAGGUGUGAAUUUUCGAGACCUUUGGCACCGUUCUAAGAUGGGUCCUCUCUUCGUAGGCUAAUGCAUUGGCCCUUUUUGACCCGUUUUGGGGCGAAAACAAAAACUGACUCCCGGGCAUAUUUUUUUCGGCCUUUAUGGGCAGAGAACUUUAAUACCGCUCAGAAAUGAGGCCACCCAGUAGUUAGGUGUGAAUUUUCGAGACCUUUGGCACCGUUCUAAGAUGGGUCCUCUCUUCGUAGGCUAAUGCAUUGGCCCUUUUUGACCCGUUUUGGGGCGAAAACAAAAACUGACUCCCGGGCAUAUUUUUUUCGGCCUUUAUGGGCAGAGAACUUUAAUACCGCUCAGAAAUGAGGCCACCCAGUAGUUAGGUGGGAAUUUUCGAGACCUUUGGCACCGUUCUAAGAUGGGUCCUCUCUUCGUAGGCUAAUGCAUUGGCCCUUUUUGACCCGUUUUGGGGCGAAAACAAAAACUGACUCCCGGGCAUAUUUUUUUCGGCCUUUAUGGGCAGAGAACUUUAACACCGCUCAAAAUGAGGCCACCCAGUAGUUAGGUGUGAAUUUUCGAGACCUUUGGCACCGUUCUAAGAUGGGUCCUCUCUUCGUAGGCUAAUGCAUUGGCCCUUUUUGACCCGUUUUGGGGCGAAAACAAAAACUGACUCCCGGGCAUAUUUUUUUCGGCCUUUAUGGGCAGAGAACUUUAAUACCGCUCAAAAUGAGGCCACCCAGUAGUUAGGUGUGAAUUUUCGAGACCUUUGGCACCGUUCUAAGAUGGGUCCUCUCUUCGUAGGCUAAUGCAUUGGCCCUUUUUGACCCGUUUUGGGGCGAAAACAAAAACUGACUCCCGGGCAUAUUUUUUUCGGCCUUUAUGGGCAGAGAACUUUAACACCGCUCAAAAUGAGGCCACCCAGUAGUUAGGUGGGAAUUUUCGAGACCUUUGGCACCGUUCUAAGAUGGGUCCUCUCUUCGUAGGCUAAUGCAUUGGCCCUUUUUGACCCGUUUUGGGGCGAAAACAAAAACUGACUCCCGGGCAUAUUUUUUUUCGGCCUUUAUGGGCAGAGAACUUUAACACCGCUCAAAAUGAGGCCACCCAGUAGUUAGGUGGGAAUUUUCGAGACCUUUGGCACCGUUCUAAGAUGGGUCCUCUCUUCGUAGGCUAAUGCAUUGGCCCUUUUUGACCCGUUUUGGGGCGAAAACAAAAACUGACUCCCGGGCAUAUUUUUC
This 20512-nucleotide long non-coding RNA is filed under the name Cucumis sativus (cucumber). Its description in RNAcentral is "long non-coding RNA (CSAT_LNC001527)". Lineage: Eukaryota; Viridiplantae; Streptophyta; Magnoliopsida; Cucurbitales; Cucurbitaceae. The record is from RNAcentral.